This 214-nucleotide ribosomal RNA is filed under the name uncultured bacterium. Its description in RNAcentral is "partial 16S ribosomal RNA". It matches the Rfam family "Bacterial small subunit ribosomal RNA", at positions 115 to 334 of the family's 1533-position model. The record is from RNAcentral.
ACGUAGGCAAUCUGCCCUCCAAGGGAGAACAACCAGCCGAAAGGUUGGCUAAAUCUCCGUAAAAUCAUAGAGUGGCAUCACUUAUUGAUCAAGUUUUUUGGAGGAUGAGCCUGCGUCUGAUUAGCUAGUUGGCGGGGUAACGGCCCACCAAGGCUACGAUCAGUAGCUGGUCUGAGAGGAUGAUCAGCCACAUUGGGACUGAGAUACGGCCCAG